Molecule: ribosomal RNA, 400 nt
Filed under: uncultured bacterium
Lineage: Bacteria
Description: bacterial SSU rRNA
Rfam family: Bacterial small subunit ribosomal RNA
Source: RNAcentral
UGGGGAAUAUUGGACAAUGGGCGCAAGCCUGAUCCAGCCAUGCCGCGUGAACGAUGAAGGCCUUAGGGUUGUAAAGUUCUUUUGUCAGGGAAGAUAAUGACGGUACCUGAAGAAUAAGCACCGGCUAACUUCGUGCCAGCAGCCGCGGUAAUACGAAGGGUGCUAGCGUUGUUCGGAAUCACUGGGCGUAAAGCGCGCGUAGGCGGCUUUGCAAGUCAGAGGUGAAAGCCUGGAGCUUAACUCCAGAACUGCCUUUGAAACUGCUAAGCUAGAGUACUGGAGGGGAAUGGGGAAUUCCUAAUGUAGAGGUGAAAUUCGUAGAUAUUAGGAGGAACACCGGUGGCGAAGGCGCCAUUCUGGACAGUAACUGACGCUGAGGCGCGAAAGCGUGGGGAUCAAA